Molecule: long non-coding RNA, 973 nt
Organism: Cydia splendana
Lineage: Eukaryota; Metazoa; Arthropoda; Insecta; Lepidoptera; Tortricidae
Exons: 3
Source: RefSeq, a predicted model, not a curated record
UGAGUAAUGUUGUAAAGAAAUGACUGGCUGCUACAAUUCUUCGACCGACAGAUUUGUCCGGAUGCUUAAUGAGAGGCAAAAUGUGGCUGUUAUUGUUCAUCAUCACUUGAUGAUAAAAAAUAGUGCGAAAAAUAGGAAAUUCACGUGUGGCGAUAAAUUAAAACACGACCGAAGGGAGUGUUUUAAGUUGACAUGAGUUGCGUAUUACCUAUUCUCACAUGUAUCGUACAACGUUUUACAGUACAUAUAACCCUUUAAAUAUUUGACAUAGUUACGUAAUGUGUGUGUGCAUUAUCGCACUAGUGCGGUAAAGUCCAUAUGUGCUGUAAAACAUCAUACAUUUAUUUAAUUUUGGUUUUGACAGUGAGGCGACCAGCUCAAACAUUUUGAACCCACGCAUUGCACAGCUGGAUGACACUUAUCGGGUUCCUAGUCUAUUAGAGGAAGAAGAUACCCAUGAGUUACAAAUAUCGUUCGAUGUGGAAGAAGAGCUUCCUGACAAAACCGUCGGUCGAAGAAUUGUCGCAAUUAGUAAUUUUUUUACAAAAUUACAAUCGAUUUGCAAUCAUGGACCCUUAGGAUGCGGUAUUCAAGAAAUGCAGUUGGUUGGAGAAGUAAAACAUGGGCUAACAUCAAAAUUUAUGUUUCGGUGUCAACUAUGCAAGAAGAAAUUUUCUAUACCAAGUGAUGACUGUGGAGAAAAUUACUUGGGAGUAAACCAAUGUGCUGUUGCAGGCACUAUUGCAAUUGGUUGCGGACACUCACAGUUGCAAGAGAUGCUGUCUGCCAUAAACCUACCGUUGAUAUCCGACAAAACUUAUGCUGAAUGCCACGAUAAUUGUAGCGCGCAUUGGGAGCGUGUAUUAGAAGAAUCAAUGCAUAAAGCUGCUGAAGAAGAAAAACAAUUGGCAUUAGAAGAAGGUCGCGUAAAGAAUGGGAUUCCGAAAAUAGACGUAGUUGCUGAUGGCUGCUG